Long non-coding RNA from Gadus morhua (Atlantic cod), 622 nucleotides. RefSeq lists it as uncharacterized. NCBI's taxonomy places the organism in Eukaryota, Metazoa, Chordata, Actinopteri, Gadiformes, Gadidae. The transcript is spliced from 2 exons. The record is from RefSeq and is a predicted model, not a curated record.
GUAAUUCUUACAGUGUAAUAUCAAGUUUCAAUAGGAACUAGAAAAAAACAUGAAACUAUACACAAAAUAUUCAUGUAAUGAAUGUUCAUGACUUGGAAGAGUAUUUUUUACUAGAUAUUUACGCAUACUAUUAAAUUAUUUAUUGUCACUGCACCAACACCUGAACAUUCUAAGUAACUUUUAUUCUGAAGAAACAGCGCAUUGGAUUUUGCGCAUGCGCCAUUUGACAACGUAUGAACGUAAAGCCAGUGAAGCGCCAGAGAAGAAGCGGGAAGAAGGCUCUGAAGCUCUGAAGCAAGAUCUCUGGAUCGCAAUUUUGCUGGAUCGGGUCGAGACGAGAGGACAACCGCAGUGAUGCUACUGAACACGUCCUCAAGAUCAUGGUCGUCCAUGAUGCUUCAGAAGAGUAUCCAGUCGAUGUCACCAUCAUUUAAUUUCUUUCUUGUUCAUUCGUCUACUAUGCAUUGUAUUUGAUUAUGUUUGUACAAUCUUACAAAACACUAUGCUUUACUGUUCCCGUAGAGACGCAUUGUUUUGAGAAACUGCAAUAGGAAAAAAGAUUUGACUAUUCAUCUUCAUCCAGUCCUUGUUAUCAAUAAAAUUGCUUCAUUACAGUACCAUA